UAUCUAUCGGAACCAGUAAUACCUACUUACAUGCCUACCUAAGUACAUAUUAUUAUAUUUUUAUUUUGAGAAAAAUAAUUAUCAUCACUUAUUUCGUAAUUUAUGCGCUAAAAAAUAAUAUUUCAACAAAACAUUAUCGCAACAUUUCUUGAAAAAAAAAUCAUAGCGUUGGCAGGUAAAAAAAAUAUAUACGUGAAUUUACGAACCCGCCUUAAAUUAAAAAUCUAACACAGUUUAACUAAAAAAGAGAACAUCGAGGCAAACACACGUACAAGUACUUACUUUGUCCAGAAUAAGCAUCAAGUCAAGCUGCAAAUUUUUUUUGUGCGUGUGUGCAAAAUGAGAAAAUUUUAUUCAGUCAGUGCAGUAAUUUUAAUCGUUUUAUUGCUGAACUACCAUUCGGUACACGGCGACUCAACAAGUGCUCAAGCAGGAGGAGUCACUCACGCACAGAGCACAGGAGAUGGAUCGGCCGAAAGUAGUGCCUCAGGCAGUUCUGGAGCUAAUACCUCCACAAACGGUGGAACUCCUGCCAAUAAGGAGCCGCAAUCAGUGGUUGGGGCAAGCUGGCCUAAUCUCAUUCAGUGGUUAUCGCGAAUAUUAAACUUGGAUUUGUAAUAGUGUAUUCUUCUUGUUAGUUUUUCGGUGAUAUUAAAAAUUACUAAACGUGUAUGUACUUACUCGACUUAUUGCUAUUAGUAUUUUUAUGUACUUUUUAUCACUUACGUAGAGAAAUAGAACGAAAUAGAAUUAAUUUUAAGAUUGGGUAUUUUUGGUGUAGUUAUUUGAAUUGUCAAAGUUGAAAAAAUGAAGCAUUUCAAUAUAAGUAAUACUUAAGCGUU
This is a long non-coding RNA of Planococcus citri (citrus mealybug), 842 nucleotides long. RefSeq lists it as uncharacterized. Lineage: Eukaryota; Metazoa; Arthropoda; Insecta; Hemiptera; Pseudococcidae. The record is from RefSeq and is a predicted model, not a curated record. The transcript has 2 exons.